UGGGGAAUAUUGGACAAUGGGCGAAAGCCUGAUCCAGCCAUGCCGCGUGUGUGAAGAAGGUCUUCGGAUUGUAAAGCACUUUAAGUUGGGAGGAAGGGCAGUAAGCGAAUACCUUGCUGUUUUGACGUUACCGACAGAAUAAGCACCGGCUAACUCUGUGCCAGCAGCCGCGGUAAUACAGAGGGUGCAAGCGUUAAUCGGAAUUACUGGGCGUAAAGCGCGCGUAGGUGGUUCGUUAAGUUGAAUGUGAAAGCCCCGGGCUCAACCUGGGAACUGCAUCCAAAACUGGCGAGCUAGAGUAGGGCAGAGGGUGGUGGAAUUUCCUGUGUAGCGGUGAAAUGCGUAGAUAUAGGAAGGAACACCAGUGGCGAAGGCGACCACCUGGGCUCAUACUGACACUGGGUGCGAAAGCGUGGGGAGCAAACAGG
Molecule: ribosomal RNA, 428 nt
Filed under: Pseudomonadota bacterium
Lineage: Bacteria; Pseudomonadati; Pseudomonadota
Description: Proteobacteria bacterium partial 16S ribosomal RNA
Rfam family: Bacterial small subunit ribosomal RNA
Source: RNAcentral